GGACCCGCACAAGCGGCGGAGCAUGCGGAUUAAUUCGAUGCAACGCGAAGAACCUUACCAAGGCUUGACAUAUACGAGAACGGGCCAGAAAUGGUCAACUCUUUGGACACUCGUAAACAGGUGGUGCAUGGUUGUCGUCAGCUCGUGUCGUGAGAUGUUGGGUUAAGUCCCGCAACGAGCGCAACCCUCGUUCUAUGUUGCCAGCACGUAAUGGUGGGAACUCAUGGGAUACUGCCGGGGUCAACUCGGAGGAAGGUGGGGAUGACGUCAAAUCAUCAUGCCCCUUAUGUCUUGGGCUUCACGCAUGCUACAAUGGCCGGUACAAAGGGCUGCAAUACCGUAAGGUGGAGCGAAUCCCAAAAAGCCGGUCCCAGUUCGGAUUGAGGUCUGCAACUCGACCUCAUGAAGUCGGAGUCGCUAGUAAUCGCAGAUCAGCAACGCUGCGGUGAAUACGUUCCCGGGUCUU
This 466-nucleotide ribosomal RNA is filed under the name uncultured bacterium. Its description in RNAcentral is "bacterial SSU rRNA". It matches the Rfam family "Bacterial small subunit ribosomal RNA", at positions 917 to 1382 of the family's 1533-position model. The record is from RNAcentral.